UCUCCGUUGGUGAACCAGCGGAGGGAUCAUUACAGAGUUGCAAAACUCCCAAACCAUUGUGAACGUUACCUAUCCCGUUGCUUCGGCGGGCGGCCCGGGCCCCGCGCCCGGCGCCCCCCGGCCCCCCGUGGGCGCCCGCCGGAGGUAAACCAGACCCUUGAAUUGCAUGGCCUCUCUGAGUCUUCUGUACUGAAUAAGUCAAAACUUUCAACAACGGAUCUCUUGGUUCUG
This 231-nucleotide unclassified non-coding RNA is filed under the name plant metagenome. RNAcentral's name for it is "partial contains small subunit ribosomal RNA, internal transcribed spacer 1, and 5.8S ribosomal RNA". The record is from RNAcentral.